Molecule: ribosomal RNA, 513 nt
Filed under: uncultured bacterium
Lineage: Bacteria
Description: partial 16S ribosomal RNA
Rfam family: Bacterial small subunit ribosomal RNA
Source: RNAcentral
GACGAACGCUGGCGGCGUGCCUAAUACAUGCAAGUUGAGCGCUGAAGGUUGGUACUUGUACCGACUGGAUGAGCAGCGAACGGGUGAGUAACGCGUGGGGAAUCUGCCUUUGAGCGGGGGACAACCUUUGGAAACGAAUGCUAAUACCGCAUAAAAACUUUAAACACAAGUUUUAAGUUUGAAAGAUGCAAUUGCAUCACUCAAAGAUGAUCCCGCGUUGUAUUAGCUAGUUGGUGAGGUAAAGGCUCACCAAGGCGAUGAUACAUAGCCGACCUGAGAGAGUGAUCGGCCACAUUGGGACUGAGACACGGCCCAAACUCCUACGGGAGGCAGCAGUAGGGAAUCUUCGGCAAUGGACGAAAGUCUGACCGAGCAACGCCGCGUGAGUGAAGAAGGUUUUCGGAUCGUAAAACUCUGUUGGUAGAGAAGAACGUUGGUGAGGGUGGAAAGCUCAUCAAGUGACGGUAACUACCCAGAAAGGGACGGCUAACUACGUGCCAGCAGCCGCAGUAA